GCGCCCGUAGCUCAGCCUGGAUAGAGCGACUGCCUCCUAAGCAGUAGAUCCGGGGUUCGAAUCCUCGCGGGCGCG
Molecule: transfer RNA, 75 nt
Filed under: Candidatus Woesearchaeota archaeon
Lineage: Archaea; Nanobdellati; Candidatus Woesearchaeota
Description: tRNA-Arg
Rfam family: tRNA
About the family: Transfer RNA (tRNA) molecules are approximately 80 nucleotides in length. Their secondary structure includes four short double-helical elements and three loops (D, anti-codon, and T loops).
Source: RNAcentral